This 381-nucleotide ribosomal RNA is filed under the name uncultured microorganism. RNAcentral's name for it is "bacterial SSU rRNA". It matches the Rfam family "Bacterial small subunit ribosomal RNA", at positions 9 to 372 of the family's 1533-position model. The record is from RNAcentral.
GAGUUUGAUCCUGGCUCAGGAUGAACGCUGGCGGCGUGCCUAACACAUGCAAGUCGAACGAAGCAAUCGGGAUGAAGUUUUCGGAUGGAUUCCUGGUUGACUGAGUGGCGGACGGGUGAGUAACGCGUGGAUAACCUGCCUCACACUGGGGGAUAACAGUUAGAAACGGCUGCUAAUACCGCAUAAGCGCACAGUACCGCAUGGUACGGUGUGAAAAACCCAGGUGGUGUGAGAUGGAUCCGCGUCUGAUUAGCCAGUUGGCGGGUAACGGCCCACCAAAGCGACGAUCAGUAGCCGACCUGAGAGGGUGACCGGCCACAUUGGGACUGAGACACGGCCCAAACUCCUACGGGAGGCAGCCAGUGGGGAAUGUUGCACAAU